UGUUCCCAUUCCGAACACAGAAGUUAAGCUCUUUAGCGCCGAUGGUACUUGGUGGGAAGCUGCCUGGGAGAGUAGGACGUAGCCACGU
Molecule: ribosomal RNA, 88 nt
Filed under: Paraclostridium sordellii
Lineage: Bacteria; Bacillati; Bacillota; Clostridia; Peptostreptococcales; Peptostreptococcaceae
Source: RNAcentral